Pelobates cultripes (western spadefoot toad) is the source of this 201-nucleotide non-coding RNA. The record is from the annotation of a GenBank genome assembly. NCBI's taxonomy places the organism in Eukaryota, Metazoa, Chordata, Amphibia, Anura, Pelobatidae.
GGAUCUUAUUGGACAAAAAUCAUUAUGAUUAAUGAGUUCACUAUAUGCAUAUGGAGCUGCAGUGUAUGUCCCAGAGAUGAAAAAAGUUUUAUUUAAGUCUAAUUUAAUUAGGCAACAAAUCAUAUAUGUGUAGGUUGCAUACAUAUUCAAAUCCCUGGGUGCAUGCUUGCUGAAACCACUUUUGGCAUCUCUGAGUAUCCC